Molecule: ribosomal RNA, 437 nt
Filed under: uncultured Staphylococcus sp.
Lineage: Bacteria; Bacillati; Bacillota; Bacilli; Caryophanales; Staphylococcaceae
Description: bacterial SSU rRNA
Rfam family: Bacterial small subunit ribosomal RNA
Source: RNAcentral
UAACGCGAAGAACCUUACCAAAUCUUGACAUCCUUUGAAAACUCUAGAGAUAGAGCCUUCCCCUUCGGGGGACAAAGUGACAGGUGGUGCAUGGUUGUCGUCAGCUCGUGUCGUGAGAUGUUGGGUUAAGUCCCGCAACGAGCGCAACCCUUAAGCUUAGUUGCCAUCAUUAAGUUGGGCACUCUAGGUUGACUGCCGGUGACAAACCGGAGGAAGGUGGGGAUGACGUCAAAUCAUCAUGCCCCUUAUGAUUUGGGCUACACACGUGCUACAAUGGACAAUACAAAGGGCAGCUAAACCGCGAGGUCAUGCAAAUCCCAUAAAGUUGUUCUCAGUUCGGAUUGUAGUCUGCAACUCGACUACAUGAAGCUGGAAUCGCUAGUAAUCGUAGAUCAGCAUGCUACGGUGAAUACGUUCCCGGGUCUUGUACACACCGA